This 301-nucleotide ribosomal RNA is filed under the name uncultured bacterium. Its description in RNAcentral is "partial 16S ribosomal RNA". It matches the Rfam family "Bacterial small subunit ribosomal RNA", at positions 509 to 807 of the family's 1533-position model. The record is from RNAcentral.
CAGCCGCCACGGUAAUACGGAGGGGGCUAGCGUUGUUCGGAAUUACUGGGCGUAAAGCGCACGUAGGCGGCUUGGUAAGUUAGAGGUGAAAGCCCGGAGCUCAACUCCGGAAUUGCCUUUAAGACUGCCGAGCUAGCAGGUGAGAGAGGUAAGUGGAAUUCCGAGUGUAGAGGUGAAAUUCGUAGAUAUUCGGAAGAACACCAGUGGCGAAGGCGGCUUACUGGCUCAUACUGGACGCUGAGGUGCGAAAGCGUGGGGAGCAAACAGGAUUAGAUACCCCCGUAGUCCCUGUCUCUUAUAC